CGGGUGAAAAACCCGUUCGCCGAAAGACCAAGGGUUCCAGUCCAACGUUAAUCGGGGCUGGGUGAGUCGACCCCUAAGGCGAGGCCGAAAGGCGUAGUCGAUGGGAAAAUGGUUAAUAUUCCAUUACUUCUGUGUAAUGCGAUGAGAGGACGGAGAAGGCUAAAUCAGCCUGGCGUUGGUUGUCCAGGUGAAAGGAUGUAGGCAUGUAUCUUAGGCAAAUCCGGGGUACUCUAUGCUGAGAUCUGAUAGCAAGCUGUACUUGUACAGCGAAGUGGUUGAUGCCAUGCUUCCAGGAAAAGUCUCUAAGCUUCAGUUACACAGGAAUCGUACCCGAAACCGACACAGGUGGUCAGGUCGAGUAGACCAAGGCGCUUGAGAGAACUCUGCUGAAGGAACUAGGCAAAAUGGUACCGUAACUUCGGGAGAAGGUACGCUGUUGUUGGUGAUGGAACUCGCUUCCUGAGCUGACGACAGCCGCAGAAACCAGGCCGCUGCAACUGUUUAUUAAAAACAUAGCACUCUGCAAACACGAAAGUGGACGUAUAGGGUGUGAUGCCUGCCCGGUGCUGGAAGGUUAAUUGAUGGGGUUAGCGUAAGCGAAGCUCUUGAUCGAAGCCCCAGUAAACGGCGGCCGUAACUAUAACGGUCCUAAGGUAGCGAAAUUCCUUGUCGGGUAAGUUCCGACCUGCACGAAUGGCAUAAUGAUGGCGGCGCUGUCUCCAGCAGAGGCUCAGUGAAAUCGAAAUCGCUGUGAAGAUGCAGUGUACCCGCGGCUAGACGGAAAGACCCCGUGAACCUUUACUGCAGCUUGACACUGAACUUUGACCUUACUUGUGUAGGAUAGGUGGGAGGCUUUGAAGCUGGAACGCUAGUUCCAGUGGAGCCGUCCUUGAAAUACCACCCUGGUAAUGUUGAGGUUCUAACUCUGUCCCGUGAUCCGGGACGAGGACCGUGUCUGGUGGGUAGUUUGACUGGGGCGGUCUCCUCCUAAAGAGUAACGGAGGAGUACGAAGGUGCGCUCAGCGUGGUCGGAAAUCACGCGUAGAGUAUAAAGGCAAAAGCGCGCUUAACUGCGAGACCCACAAGUCGAGCAGGUACGAAAGUAGGUCUUAGUGAUCCGGUGGUUCUGUAUGGAAGGGCCAUCGCUCAACGGAUAAAAGGUACUCUGGGGAUAACAGGCUGAUACCGCCCAAGAGUUCAUAUCGACGGCGGUGUUUGGCACCUCGAUGUCGGCUCAUCUCAUCCUGGGGCUGAAGCAGGUCCCAAGGGUAUGGCUGUUCGCCAUUUAAAGAGGUACGCGAGCUGGGUUUAGAACGUCGUGAGACAGUUCGGUCCCUAUCUACCGUGGGCGCUGGAAAUUUGAGAGGAUCUGCUCCUAGUACGAGAGGACCAGAGUGGACGAACCUCUGGUGUACCGGUUGUGACGCCAGUCGCAUCGCCGGGUAGCUAUGUUCGGAAGGGAUAACCGCUGAAAGCAUCUAAGCGGGAAGCCUACCUCAAGAUAAGAUUUCCCUAGGACUUUAUGUCCUCUAAAGAGCCGUUCGAGACUAGGACGUUGAUAGGUUGGAUGUGGAAGCAUAGUGAUAUGUGAAGCUGACCAAUACUAAUUGCUCGUGAGGCUUGACU
This 1626-nucleotide ribosomal RNA is filed under the name Acinetobacter baumannii AB_TG2018. Its description in RNAcentral is "bacterial LSU rRNA". It matches the Rfam family "Bacterial large subunit ribosomal RNA", at positions 1318 to 2925 of the family's 2925-position model. Lineage: Bacteria; Pseudomonadati; Pseudomonadota; Gammaproteobacteria; Moraxellales; Moraxellaceae. The record is from RNAcentral.